RNAcentral lists this ribosomal RNA (853 nucleotides) under uncultured organism. RNAcentral describes it as "bacterial SSU rRNA". It matches the Rfam family "Bacterial small subunit ribosomal RNA", at positions 24 to 829 of the family's 1533-position model. The record is from RNAcentral.
UCAGGACGAACGCUGGCGGCGUGGAUUAGGCAUGCAAGUCGAACGGUUUUGAACAUCAUCUUAUCCGGCUUGCCGGAUAAGACGUUCAGAAUAGUGGCGAAAGGGUGAGUAAUGCAAGGGUAACAUGCCCUUAAGCUGGGGAUAACUCCGAGAAAUCGGAGCUAAUACCGAAUGUGGUCCUUUGAUGGAAUCAUUAGAGGACUAAAGAUGGGGACCCUUCGGGGCCUUUCGCUUAAGGAGUGGCUCUUGUCCUAUUAGCCUGUUGGUGGGGUAACGGCUCACCAAAGCAAUAAUGGGUAGCUGGUCUGAGAGGAUGAUCAGCCACACUGGGACUGAGACACUGCCCAGACUCCUACGGGAGGCUGCAGUCGAGAAUCUUUCGCAAUGGGGGAAACCCUGACGAAGCGACGCCGCGUGGAGGAUGAAGGCCCUCGGGUUGUAAACUCCUGUCACUUGGGAUGAAAAGUGGGGCCAUUAAUACCGGUUCUGCCUGACAGUACCUUGAAAGGAAGCUCCGGCUAACUACGUGCCAGCAGCCGCGGUAAUACGUAGGGAGCAAGCGUUGUUCGGAUUUACUGGGCGUAAAGGGUGUGUAGGUUGCUUGGUAAGUCAGUUGUGAAAUCCUUACUGCUCAACAGAAGAAUUGCAAUUGAUACUACCAGGCUAGAGUUCGGUAGAGGAGAGCGGAAUUCUCGGUGUAGCGGUGAAAUGCGUAGAUAUCGAGAAGAACACCAGUGGCGUAGGCGGCUCUCUAGCCCGAUACUGACACUGAAACACGAAAGCGUGGGUAGCGAACCGGGAUUAGAUACCCCGGUAGUCCACGCCGUAAACGAUGGGUACUAGGUGCAGGUGG